AUGAAUGAAAGCUUCUGCCCAAUAAUGUCGUGGAAUGUCCGCGGCCUAAACCAGCCGGCGAAACGGGCGGCGAUCUGCGAGGUAGUCGCAGUGCACAAAGCAGCAAUCCUAUGCCUGCAGGAAACCAAGAUAGAUGUAUGGACACCUACCAUCGUCAGGGAAAUUGGUGGCGCCGCCCUGACUGAUUGCGUUGUCCUCCCUGCGAUCGGCUCCUGCGGCGGAGCGGCGAUCUUCUGGAACACCGAAUUAGUUAGCAUCGCUUCCCACGCCAUAGGUGAAUUCGCGAUCACUGCCAAGGUGAUGCUUCUCUGGCAAUCCAAAAGCUUCUGGCUUUCCACAGUUUACGGCCCAGUGGACGACGCUAGAAAAGCAGCCUUCCUCGACAAGCUAGCUAGAACUGCUCCCCCGACACCUGAACCAUGGCUCAUCAACGGAGAUUUUAAUCUCAUCUAUGAGGCGAGAGACAAAAACAACCAUCAGCUCAACCGCAGGGUCAUGGGCAUGUUCAGGCGGGCCAUUGACGUCACUGGCCUCAAAGAGAUCAAGUGCAAAAAUCAUCGUUUCACCUGGAGUAACGAGCAUGAGAACCCGACGCUCGUCAGCAUCGACAAGUUCUUCUGCAACAACAGCUGGGAAGAUCUUUUACCCACAAGCACACUGAUGGCAGCGUCCACCGCGUGCUCGGACUACUGCCCUCUGCUCCUCGCGGAUGCAGCGGCUCCUCGCCGUCGCGCCAAGUUCAAAUUUGAAAGCUUCUAG
RNAcentral lists this ribosomal RNA (759 nucleotides) under Triticum aestivum (bread wheat). RNAcentral's name for it is "partial small subunit ribosomal RNA". Lineage: Eukaryota; Viridiplantae; Streptophyta; Magnoliopsida; Poales; Poaceae. The record is from RNAcentral.